RNAcentral lists this ribosomal RNA (501 nucleotides) under uncultured bacterium. RNAcentral describes it as "bacterial SSU rRNA". It matches the Rfam family "Bacterial small subunit ribosomal RNA", at positions 8 to 507 of the family's 1533-position model. The record is from RNAcentral.
AGAGUUUGAUCAUGGCUCAGAUUGAACGCUGGCGGCAUGCCUUACACAUGCAAGUCGAACGGUAACGGGCCUUCGGGUGCCGACGAGUGGCGAACGGGUGAGUAAUGCAUCGGAACGUACCUUUCAGUGGGGGAUAACGUAGCGAAAGUUACGCUAAUACCGCAUAUUCUGUGAGCAGGAAAGCAGGGGAUCGCAAGACCUUGCGCUGAUUGAGCGGCCGAUGUCAGAUUAGCUAGUUGGUGAGGUAAAGGCUCACCAAGGCGACGAUCUGUAGCGGGUCUGAGAGGAUGAUCCGCCACACUGGAACUGAGACACGGUCCAGACUCCUACGGGAGGCAGCAGUGGGGAAUUUUGGACAAUGGGGCAACCCUGAUCCAGCCAUGCCGCGUGAGUGAAGAAGGCCUUCGGGUUGUAAAGCUCUUUCGGCCGGGAAGAAAUCGCAUGGGUUAAUACCCUGUGCGGAUGACGGUACCGGCAUAAGAAGCACCGGCUAACUACGUG